RNAcentral lists this long non-coding RNA (344 nucleotides) under Setaria viridis. RNAcentral's name for it is "long non-coding RNA (SVIR_LNC000441)". Lineage: Eukaryota; Viridiplantae; Streptophyta; Magnoliopsida; Poales; Poaceae. The record is from RNAcentral.
UGAACCUAGCCUCAUGACAUCCACGCACCCGGAGGUCGCUUCCUGUGUCGGCCUUCCCCAUCAAUCCCCUAACCCGUGUCGGGCCCAUUUCCUUUGGUGCAAGGUUCCACAGACCCGGGCUCUGCCGUUCUGUGGCCACGCAUGCCACCACGUGCGACAUCCAGCAGGGGAACUCCGUUCCAAGAACAAUGGGGCGACCGCUCACGUCUAGGUUCAUUCUGGUACUAGGCUUCCUCAUCCCAUACUAAGUAUGAGGCUAGUACUUUCAAACACUUGAUCACGAACACCACCACUGUCGGGCCUUAGCAAGUUUUCAAAGAUAGAUGGGGCAACCAUCCGUCCAC